UAGCCACAGGGUUCUUUAGAGGCCACUUUCUUCAAGUCUCUAAUUUUGCAUAUGAGAAACACUAAGACUCAGCAGAUAAGGAUGGAGGCGACUCAACAUCACACUGAGACAGAUAUGAGCCCUGCAUUUCUGAAUGCCUUGAAAGAAAAACCAGCAAGUUGGGAGGGCCGUGUCUCCUUAUCAUCUUCCAGGAAUUCAAAACCGUGAUUUCCAGUUUCCAAAUGCAACUCAAGCUCCAUCACCCUGUACAUCUUGCACGGUUUCUCCAGCAUAUCCUGAUCGCCACCUCCAGACCCUUCUGAUAGAUUCAUUACCUGAAUCUAUUUGAUUCAUAAUUAUUUUCAAAUUGGAAAUGGAAAAGUAUUUUCUACUCCAGAAUCAAAAUUACCCCACAUGGAUGAAGCUGUACUACAGAAAGAAAUAAUAAUGUUGGCACCCAGAGAGAAAGGAUAGUCAGAGAUGCAGAAAGCAAGACUGCUAAUGGAGUUUCAAACUUGGAUUCCAAUUACUCUCCCGGACUUCCUGUAAUUCAAAUAUCAGCUUCUCCUUUGAUUAUGUGACCUUACUAGAUGUCCUGCCAAUAAAUUCACUUCUUAUCUAA
RNAcentral lists this long non-coding RNA (601 nucleotides) under Homo sapiens (human). Its description in RNAcentral is "HSALNT0301061". Lineage: Eukaryota; Metazoa; Chordata; Mammalia; Primates; Hominidae. The record is from RNAcentral.